AUAAGCGCACACGGUGGAUGCCUAGGCGGUCAGAGGCGAUGAAGGACGUGGUAGCCUGCGAAAAGUGUCGGGGAGCUGGCAACAAGCUUUGAUCCGGCAAUAUCCGAAUGGGGAAACCCACUGCUUCGGCAGUAUCUUGCAGUGAAUUCAUAGCUGCUUGAAGCGAACCCGGUGAACUGAAAUAUCUAAGUAACCGGAGGAAAAGAAAUCAACCGAGAUUCCCUGAGUAGUGACGAGCGAACGGGGAACAGCCCUUAAGCUGGAAUGGCUUUAGAAAAACAAUCUGGAAAGAUUGGCCAUAGAAGGUGAUAGCCCUGUAUUUAAAAGGGCCACUCCAGUGAAGACGAGUAGGGCGGGGCACGUGAAACCCUGUCUGAAUAUGGGGGGACCAUCCUCCAAGGCUAAAUACUCCUGACCGACCGAUAGUGAACCAGUACCGUGAGGGAAAGGCGAAAAGAACCCCGGAGAGGGGAGUGAAAUAGAUCCUGAAACCGUGUGCGUACAAGCAGUAGGAGCUCUCAAGAGUGACUGCGUACCUUUUGUAUAAUGGGUCAGCGACUUACUGUUCGUGGCAAGCUUAACCGUAUAGGGGAGGCGAAGGGAAACCGAGUCUGAUAAGGGCGCAUAGUCGCGGGCAGUAGACCCGAAACCGGGUGAUCUAGUCAUGGCCAGGGUGAAGGUGCCGUAACAGGUACUGGAGGCCCGAACCCACGUCUGUUGCAAAAGACGGGGAUGAGCUGUGAUUAGGAGUGAAAAGCUAAUCGAACCCGGAGAUAGCUGGUUCUCCUCGAAAGCUAUUUAGGUAGCGCCUCGGACGAAUACUACUGGGGGUAGAGCACUGUUAUGGCUAGGGGGUCAUCGCGACUUACCAAACCAUUGCAAACUCCGAAUACCAGUACGUACUAUCCGGGAGACACACGGCGGGUGCUAACGUCCGUCGUGAAAAGGGAAACAACCCAGACCCACAGCUAAGGUCCCAAAUUCACUGCUAAGUGGAAAACGAUGUGGAAAGGCAUAGACAGCCAGGAGGUUGGCUUAGAAGCAGCCACCCUUUAAAGAAAGCGUAAUAGCUCACUGGUCGAGUCGGUCUGCGCGGAAGAUUUAACGGGGCUAAGCAGUGAACCGAAGCUUGGGGUGCGUAAAACUUCGGUUUUAUGCGCGGUAGAGGAGCGUUCCGUAAGCCUGCGAAGGUGGAUUGAGAAGUCUGCUGGAGGUAUCGGAAGUGCGAAUGCUGACAUGAGUAACGAUAAUGCGGGUGAAAAGCCCGCACGCCGAAAGCCCAAGGUUUCCUUGCGCAACGUUAAUCGACGCAGGGUUAGUCGGUCCCUAAGGCGAGGGCGAAAGCCGUAGUCGAUGGGAAGCAGGUUAAUAUUCCUGCACCUCGCGUGAGUGCGAUGGAGGGACGGAGAAGGUUAGGUGUACCGGGCGUUGGUUGUCCCGGGGAAAGGCGGUAGGUUUGGAUCUUUGGCAAAUCCGGGAUCCUUUAAGACCGAGCACCGAGACGAGCCUUUAUGGCGAAGUCACUGAUACCACGCUUCCAGGAAAAGCUCCUAAGCUUCAGCUCACGAAGACCGUACCGUAAACCGACACAGGUGGGUAGGAUGAGAAUUCUCAGGCGCUUGAGAGAACUCGGGUGAAGGAACUAGGCAACAUGGCACCGUAACUUCGGGAGAAGGUGCACCCUUUUUGGUGGCUCAUGCGAGCUAUAGCUGAAGAGGGUCGCAGAAACCAGGCCGCUGCGACUGUUUAUCAAAAACACAGCACUCUGCAAACACGAAAGUGGACGUAUAGGGUGUGACGCCUGCCCGGUGCUGGAAGGUUAAUUGAUGGGGUCAGCCGCAAGGCGAAGCUCUUGAUCGAAGCCCCAGUAAACGGCGGCCGUAACUAUAACGGUCCUAAGGUAGCGAAAUUCCUUGUCGGGUAAGUUCCGACCUGCACGAAUGGCGUAACGACAGCGGCGCUGUCUCCACCCGAGACUCAGUGAAAUUGAAAUCGCUGUGAAGAUGCAGCGUUCCCGUGGCAAGACGGAAAGACCCCGUGAACCUUUACUAUAGCUUUACACUGAACGUUGAGUUCGUCUGUGUAGGAUAGGUGGGAGGCUAUGAAACUGUGGCGCUAGCUGCAGUGGAGCCAACCUUGAAAUACCACCCUGUCGUGCUUGACGUUCUAACCUAGAUCCGUUAUCCGGAUCAGGGACCGUGUAUGGUGGGUAGUUUGACUGGGGCGGUCUCCUCCUAAAGAGUAACGGAGGAGCACGAAGGUACGCUCAGCGCGGUCGGACAUCGCGCACUGUGUGCAAAGGCAUAAGCGUGCUUGACUGCAAGAUCGACGGAUCAAGCAGGUACGAAAGUAGGUCUUAGUGAUCCGGUGGUUCUGUAUGGAAGGGCCAUCGCUCAACGGAUAAAAGGUACUCCGGGGAUAACAGGCUGAUACCGCCCAAGAGUUCAUAUCGACGGCGGUGUUUGGCACCUCGAUGUCGGCUCAUCACAUCCUGGGGCUGUAGUCGGUCCCAAGGGUAUGGCUGUUCGCCAUUUAAAGUGGUACGCGAGCUGGGUUCAGAACGUCGUGAGACAGUUCGGUCCCUAUCUGCCAUGGGCGUUGGAAGUUUGAGAGGGGCUGCUCCUAGUACGAGAGGACCGGAGUGGACGAACCUCUGGUGUUCCGGUUGUCACGCCAGUGGCAUUGCCGGGUAGCUAUGUUCGGAAGCGAUAACCGCUGAAAGCAUCUAAGCGGGAAGCGCGCCUCAAGAUGAGACUUCCCGGGGCACAAGCCCCCUAAAGGAACCAUAUAGACUAUGUGGUUGAUAGGUCAGGUGUGUAAGUACAGCAAUGUAUUGAGCUAACUGAUACUAAUGAUCCGUGCGGCUUGACC
This 2871-nucleotide ribosomal RNA is filed under the name Xanthomonas campestris pv. incanae. RNAcentral's name for it is "bacterial LSU rRNA". It matches the Rfam family "Bacterial large subunit ribosomal RNA". Lineage: Bacteria; Pseudomonadati; Pseudomonadota; Gammaproteobacteria; Lysobacterales; Lysobacteraceae. The record is from RNAcentral.